Molecule: ribosomal RNA, 818 nt
Filed under: bacterium
Lineage: Bacteria
Description: bacterial SSU rRNA
Rfam family: Bacterial small subunit ribosomal RNA
Source: RNAcentral
GGCGGCGUGCUUAACACAUGCAAGUCGAACGCUGAAGCUCCCAGCUUGCUGGGGGUGGAUGAGUGGCGAACGGGUGAGUAACACGUGAGUAACCUGCCCAUCACUCUGGGAUAAGCGCUGGAAACGGCGUCUAAUACUGGAUACGAGCAACAGCCGCAUGGCCAGUUGCUGGAAAGACUGGUUCGGUGGUGGAUGGACUCGCGGCCUAUCAGCUUGUUGGUGAGGUAAUGGCUCACCAAGGCGACGACGGGUAGCCGGCCUGAGAGGGUGACCGGCCACACUGGGACUGAGACACGGCCCAGACUCCUACGGGAGGCAGCAGUGGGGAAUAUUGCACAAUGGGCGCAAGCCUGAUGCAGCAACGCCGCGUGAGGGAUGACGGCCUUCGGGUUGUAAACCUCUUUUAGUAGGGAAGAAGCCUUCGGGUGACGGUACCUGCAGAAAAAGCACCGGCUAACUACGUGCCAGCAGCCGCGGUAAUACGUAGGGUGCAAGCGUUGUCCGGAAUUAUUGGGCGUAAAGAGCUCGUAGGCGGCUUGUCGCGUCUGCUGUGAAAACCCGAGGCUCAACCUCGGGCCUGCAGUGGGUACGGGCAGGCUAGAGUGCGGUAGGGGAGAUUGGAAUUCCUGGUGUAGCGGUGGAAUGCGCAGAUAUCAGGAGGAACACCGAUGGCGAAGGCAGAUCUCUGGGCCGUAACUGACGCUGAGGAGCGAAAGCAUGGGGAGCGAACAGGAUUAGAUACCCUGGUAGUCCAUGCCGUAAACGUUGGGAACUAGAUGUAGGGCCUGUUCCACGGGUUCUGUGUCGUAGCUAACGCA